CGAUGAUGCCCAGCUUGCUGGGUGGAUUAGUGGCGAACGGGUGAGUAACACGUGAGUAACCUGCCCCUGACUCUGGGAUAAGCGUUGGAAACGACGUCUAAUACUGGAUAUGAUCGCCGGCCGCAUGGUCUGGUGGUGGAAAGAUUUUUUGGUUGGGGAUGGACUCGCGGCCUAUCAGCUUGUUGGUGAGGUAAUGGCUCACCAAGGCGACGACGGGUAGCCGGCCUGAGAGGGUGACCGGCCACACUGGGACUGAGACACGGCCCAGACUCCUACGGGAGGCAGCAGUGGGGAAUAUUGCACAAUGGGCGAAAGCCUGAUGCAGCAACGCCGCGUGAGGGAUGACGGCCUUCGGGUUGUAAACCUCUUUUAGUAGGGAAGAAGCGAAAGUGACGGUACCUGCAGAAAAAGCACCGGCUAACUACGUGCCAGCAGCCGCGGUAAUACGUAGGGUGCAAGCGUUGUCCGGAAUUAUUGGGCGUAAAGAGCUCGUAGGCGGUUUGUCGCGUCUGCUGUGAAAUCCCGAGGCUCAACCUCGGGCUUGCAGUGGGUACGGGCAGACUAGAGUGCGGUAGGGGAGAUUGGAAUUCCUGGUGUAGCGGUGGAAUGCGCAGAUAUCAGGAGGAACACCGAUGGCGAAGGCAGAUCUCUGGGCCGUAACUGACGCUGAGGAGCGAAAGCAUGGGGAGCGAACAGGAUUAGAUACCCUGGUAGUCCAUGCCGUAAACGUUGGGCGCUAGAUGUAGGGACCUUUCCACGGUUUCUGUGUCGUAGCUAACGCAUUAAGCGCCCCGCCUGGGGAGUACGGCCGCAAGGCUAAAACUCAAAGGAAUUGACGGGGGCCCGCACAAGCGGCGGAGCAUGCGGAUUAAUUCGAUGCAACGCGAAGAACCUUACCAAGGCUUGACAUACACCGGAAACGGCCAGAGAUGGUCGCCCCCUUGUGGUCGGUGUACAGGUGGUGCAUGGUUGUCGUCAGCUCGUGUCGUGAGAUGUUGGGUUAA
This 1004-nucleotide ribosomal RNA is filed under the name Curtobacterium sp. RNAcentral's name for it is "bacterial SSU rRNA". It matches the Rfam family "Bacterial small subunit ribosomal RNA", at positions 67 to 1083 of the family's 1533-position model. Lineage: Bacteria; Bacillati; Actinomycetota; Actinomycetes; Micrococcales; Microbacteriaceae. The record is from RNAcentral.